UUUCCGUAGGUGAACCUGCGGAAGGAUCAUUCAUAAUAAAGUGUUUUAUGGCACUUUUUAAAAAUCCAUAUCCACCUUGUGUGCAAUGUUAGAUCUCGUCAAUCUUGGCGAGAUUUUUAUACAUCAACUCAUUCUUUAACUAAUUUGUCUGAAAAAUAUUAUGAAUACUUAAUUCAAAAUACAACUUUCGACAACGGAUCUCUUGGCUCUC
This 211-nucleotide unclassified non-coding RNA is filed under the name plant metagenome. RNAcentral describes it as "partial contains small subunit ribosomal RNA, internal transcribed spacer 1, and 5.8S ribosomal RNA". The record is from RNAcentral.